ACCAAGGUUUUAUGAGUUUCUGAAGUAGUUGUUUUGUUUUGUUUUUUUGAAGUUUUUUAGUUGAACUCAAAAUUUUGUUUUUUAUUUCCACUUUUCUUUUCCUUUUUAUUUCUUAUAAUUAUUAUAUAUUACUAUCAUUAAUAUAUAUGUCUUUGUAAAUUCUUUACACUUUUACGUAUCGCACAACCAUGGCGUAAUUUCAGUGCAAUCAAAUUGACUGGGAGUGGGUGUUUAAAUCAAAUUAUGUUUCCA
Molecule: long non-coding RNA, 252 nt
Filed under: Lathyrus oleraceus (garden pea)
Lineage: Eukaryota; Viridiplantae; Streptophyta; Magnoliopsida; Fabales; Fabaceae
Description: Pisum sativum (pea) long non-coding RNA (PSAT_LNC001211)
Source: RNAcentral